RNAcentral lists this ribosomal RNA (301 nucleotides) under uncultured bacterium. Its description in RNAcentral is "partial 16S ribosomal RNA". It matches the Rfam family "Bacterial small subunit ribosomal RNA", at positions 509 to 808 of the family's 1533-position model. The record is from RNAcentral.
CAGCCGCCGCGGUAAUACGUAGGUGGCAAGCGUUGUCCGGAAUUAUUGGGCGUAAAGCGCGCGCAGGCGGUUUCUUAAGUCUGAUGUGAAAGCCCCCGGCUUAACCGGGGAGGGUCAUUGGAAGCUGGGAGACUUAGAGUGCAGAAGAGGAGAGUGGAAUUCCACGUGUAGCGGUGAAAUGCGUAGAGAUGUGGAGGAACACCAGUGGCGAAGGCGACUCUCUGGUCUGUAACUGACGCUGAGGAGCGAAAGCGUGGGGAGCGAACAGGAUUAGAUACCCCCGUAGUCCCUGUCUCUUAUA